UUUAUUACGAGAGUUUGAUCCUGGCUCAGGAUGAACGCUGGCGGCGUGCCUAACACAUGCAAGUCGAGCGAAGCACUUUAAUUCGAUUCUUCGGAUGAAGAUUUUUGUGACUGAGCGGCGGACGGGUGAGUAACGCGUGGGCAACCUGCCUUACACAGGGGGAUAACAGUUAGAAAUGACUGCUAAUACCGCAUAAGA
Molecule: ribosomal RNA, 198 nt
Filed under: Dorea sp.
Lineage: Bacteria; Bacillati; Bacillota; Clostridia; Lachnospirales; Lachnospiraceae
Description: partial 16S ribosomal RNA
Rfam family: Bacterial small subunit ribosomal RNA
Source: RNAcentral